Molecule: long non-coding RNA, 442 nt
Filed under: Eucalyptus grandis
Lineage: Eukaryota; Viridiplantae; Streptophyta; Magnoliopsida; Myrtales; Myrtaceae
Description: long non-coding RNA (EGRA_LNC005468)
Source: RNAcentral
UUUUUUCUUGACUUAUCUCCUCCCCUACGGCAGCUUCUUGAUCACGCCUCCUUCGCCCCGUCUUCUUCACAUUUCUCUUGUUCUACUUUCAUUUUCUCUGCAACCGAAGCUGCCCAUCAUCUCGCCUACAUCCACCACCGAAAUUUCUCCACCGAGCUGCCAACUGCCCAUGAUUCAGCCCUCCGCAGUCAACAAUUGAAGACGGUGUUGACUCCUUGCCACGAUCUCCACUCAGCAGCGACAAAACACUGCAACUCCAUUUCAUUUUGCCGCUACCAGCAUGUCCACGUCCGCACGAUUCCACCGAAGCAGUUGACUGCUUCCGCCUCUGACCUUGCUCCGCACGAACCACUGCAGCAACGACACAGCUUCAUCUCCUGCCCCAUUUGCUGCCACGAAGCCACUCCACCGAUUCUCUUCUCACCGUUGACCCAUCUGCCAC